This 429-nucleotide ribosomal RNA is filed under the name Gemmatimonadota bacterium. Its description in RNAcentral is "Gemmatimonadetes bacterium partial 16S ribosomal RNA". It matches the Rfam family "Bacterial small subunit ribosomal RNA", at positions 355 to 776 of the family's 1533-position model. The record is from RNAcentral. Lineage: Bacteria; Pseudomonadati; Gemmatimonadota.
UAGGGAAUCUUCGGCAAUGGACGAAAGUCUGACCGAGCAACGCCGCGUGAGUGAAGAAGGUUUUCGGAUCGUAAAACUCUGUUGUUAGAGAAGAACAAGGACGUUAGUAACUGAACGUCCCCUGACGGUAUCUAACCAGAAAGCCACGGCUAACUACGUGCCAGCAGCCGCGGUAAUACGUAGGUGGCAAGCGUUGUCCGGAUUUAUUGGGCGUAAAGCGAGCGCAGGCGGUUUCUUAAGUCUGAUGUGAAAGCCCCCGGCUCAACCGGGGAGGGUCAUUGGAAACUGGGAGACUUGGGUGCAGAAGAGGAGAGUGGAAUUCCAUGUGUAGCGGUGAAAUGCGUAGAUAUAUGGAGGAACACCAGUGGCGAAGGCGGCUCUCAGGUCUGUAACUGACGCUGAGGCUCGAAAGCGUGGGGAGCAAACAGG